GACGAACGCUGGCGGCGUGCUUAACACAUGCAAGUCGAGCGAGGCCCCUCCUUCGGGAGGGUGUCCUAGCGGCGAACGGGUGAGUAACACGUGGGCAACCUGCCCUCAGCUCUGGGAUAACUCCGGGAAACCGGGGCUAAUAUCGGAUACGACCUCCACGGGCAUCUGCGGAGGUGGAAAGUUUUUCGGCUGAGGAUGGGCCCGCGGCCUAUCAGCUAGUUGGUGGGGUAGUGGCCCACCAAGGCGACGACGGGUAGCCGGCCUGAGAGGGCGACCGGCCACACUGGGACUGAGACACGGCCCAGACUCCUACGGGAGGCAGCAGUGGGGAAUAUUGCGCAAUGGGCGAAAGCCUGACGCAGCGACGCCGCGUGAGGGACGAAGGCCUUCGGGUUGUAAACCUCUUUCAGCAGGGACGAAGCGAAAGUGACGGUACCUGCAGAAGAAGCACCGGCCAACUACGUG
This 465-nucleotide ribosomal RNA is filed under the name uncultured bacterium. RNAcentral's name for it is "partial 16S ribosomal RNA". It matches the Rfam family "Bacterial small subunit ribosomal RNA", at positions 28 to 507 of the family's 1533-position model. The record is from RNAcentral.